RNAcentral lists this small nuclear RNA (127 nucleotides) under Crocodylus porosus (Australian saltwater crocodile). RNAcentral describes it as "U4 spliceosomal RNA (ENSCPRG00005012833.1)". It matches the Rfam family "U4 spliceosomal RNA". From Rfam's summary of the family: U4 small nuclear RNA (U4 snRNA) is a component of the major U2-dependent spliceosome. The record is from Rfam by way of RNAcentral. Lineage: Eukaryota; Metazoa; Chordata; Crocodylia; Crocodylidae.
UGCUUUGCACAAUGGCAGUAUCGUAACCAAUGAGGUUAAUCUGAGGCACGAUUAUUGCUAAUUGAAAACUUGUAGUAUAACAGUGUUGGGGGGGGGAGUUAGAAUAAUUUCUGCAUGUAUGCAUAUA